AUUGAACGCUGGCGGCAUGCCUUACACAUGCAAGUCGAACGGUAACGGGCCUUCGGGUGCCGACGAGUGGCGGACGGGUGCGUAAUACAUCGGAACGUGCCCGAUCGUGGGGGAUAACGAGGCGAAAGCUUUGCUAAUACCGCAUACGAUCUACGGAUGAAAGCCGGGGACCGCAAGGCCUUGCGCGGACGGAGCGGCCGAUUGCAGAUUAGGUAGUUGGUGGGAUAAAAGCUUACCAAGCCGACGAUCUGUAGCUGGUCUGAGAGGAUGAUCAGCCACACUGGGACUGAGACACGGCCCAGACUCCUACGGGGGGCAGCAGUGGGGAAUUUUGGACAAUGGGCGCAAGCCUGAUCCAGCCAUGCCGCGUGCAGGAUGAAGGCCUUCGGGUUGUAAAAUGCUUUUGUACGGAAAGAAAAGCCUUCUUUUAAUACAGGAGGGUCAUGACGGUACCGUAAGAAUAAGCACCGGCUAACUACGUG
This 482-nucleotide ribosomal RNA is filed under the name uncultured bacterium. Its description in RNAcentral is "partial 16S ribosomal RNA". It matches the Rfam family "Bacterial small subunit ribosomal RNA", at positions 30 to 507 of the family's 1533-position model. The record is from RNAcentral.